Molecule: long non-coding RNA, 2129 nt
Filed under: Homo sapiens (human)
Lineage: Eukaryota; Metazoa; Chordata; Mammalia; Primates; Hominidae
Description: HSALNT0365194
Source: RNAcentral
CACGGCUAUUGGCUUGUUCCUACUGUGGCGUCAUUAGAGCCCGGCCUCCGGCUGGGGCCACCCAGGCAACCGAUAUACACAGAGAACCACGUGGAGGAAAAGCACGCGAGUUUGGAGCGGGUGGAGCAGGAACAGAGGUGGACUGGAAUGUCACACGACGGGGCAGCUGGAAGGGCACCACUGAGUUCAGUACUUCAAAAUUGCCGUGCUCUACCUCUCCCCAGUGCACAAAAACACUCUCCACACCAAGCUGCUGCUGCUGGGGGAUGGAGGGAUGGCGUCAGCGAUUCAAGACUGUUUUUCCUACCUGUUCAGCACUUCUUUCAGCGAUAUGAAGUUAAAUCCAGGCCAAGUUCCCACCUGGUGGGAAGCACUGUGCAGGUUCGUGGGGAUGCAGCCCUGCACAGCCCAGACUGGACUCCUUCCCCAUGGAACUCACAACACACGGGAGAGGCAGAGAGAUCCAAGCGCACAGAAAAACACAAGAAGAUUCAGCCCUGUCAUCUUGUGCAAAGAGGCAUCCCCUUCUGACCAUGAAGGGUUAACCGCUGUAGAAAUUGCCCAUCUACCCAGCACUUUGGGAGGCCACGGCGAGCGAUCACCUGAGGUCAGGAGUUCGAGAUCAGCCCAGCCAACAUGGUGAAACCCUGUCUCUACUAAAAAUACAAAAAUUAGCCAGGUGUGGUAGUGCUCGCCUGUAAUUUCAGCUACCUGGGAGGCUGAGGCAGGAGGAUGGCAUGAACCCGGGAGGCGUUGCAGUGAGCUGAGAUUGAGCCAUUGUACUCCAGCCUGGGUGACAAGAGUGAGAUUCUGGCUCAAAAAAAAAAAAAAAAAGGACAAAGAAACUAUUCAUCUAAUGCAAACAACUGAACACUGGAUGAAAUAUAGGGCUUGGUGUGAUGGCUCACGCUUAUAAUCCCAGCACUUCGGGAGGCCGAGGCGGGUGGAUCGCCUGAGGUCAGGAGUUUGAGACCAGCCUGAUCAAUGGUGAAACCCUGUCUCUACUGAAAGUACAAAACUUAGCUGGGCGUGGUGGCACGUGCCUGUAGUCCCAGCUACUCGGGAGGCUGAGACAGGAGAACUGCUUGAACCUGGGAGGUGGAGGUUGCAGUGAGCCGAGAUCGUGCCACUGCACUUCAGCCUAGGUGACAGAGCAAGACUCUGUCUCAAAAAAGAAAAAAUAAAAAUAAAAAUAAAAGAAAGAAAGAAAUAUAAGAAAUGACUGUUUCCAGACAGUGGGCAUCAGGUGGCAUAGGGUGGUAGGCCCCAAGAGAAGGGAAACAAGUUAGGUGACCCCACCCCAACACAGUACAGCAGCUUACUGCCUGGAGAAAGUUGGCAGAGCCAGGUGGUUGAGUUGGUGAGACGGAGAUUGGGUUGGAGGAGGCUAGAAUCUGUGAGGAAGAAUCCUGGGGAGAAGGGAGCUGCAGGCAGAGUUCGGGAAGCCUGUAGAAAGGUCCUCAAAACUUUGGCUGAACACUGAGCUGACAGAAAGCAGUAGGCUGAACAAUUAAUUCCUGGAGCUUACAUGCGGCUGUGGCUCAGAUUCCCACCAGUGAGUGGAGAGUGCUUGCAGUACCUGGUGCAUUGGAUAGAGGCCUCCUGAAGAUGCUACUGUAGCCCUGACGCCUGUCCUGAACUCAGUCUAACAGAGCUUAAAAACAAGCAUUAAAAGGAUCAAAGCAAUUCCAAAUAACUGAGCCAGAACAAAGUCCAACACUCUUUAAAAGAAUAGAAUAAGAUCCAGAACUCAGCAAUGUAAAAUUCACAAUAUCCAUCAUCUAAUAAAAAAAUUAAGUCAUGCAAAGAAGCAGGAAAAUACGGCUUAUAACCAGAAGAAAAAUCAAUCAACAGAAACAGACCCAAAAAUCAACAGAAACAGAAAAAUGAUGAAAUUAGCAGAAAGGAUACUAAAGCAGUGAUUAUAGAUUAUGUUCCAUAUGCUCAGAAAUGCAGAGGAAAACAUGAACAUGAUGAGAAGAGAGAUGGAAGAUUUAAGAAAAACAAAUGUAAUUUAUAAAGAUGAAAAUAGAAUAUCUGAAAUAAAAAUACUGUUGAACAAAUAAAUGAUUUUAUUUCUGCUGUUGCUCCUAUCAAAACCAUAUGGGUCAGGGGUGGGGGAGAGCGAC